This 254-nucleotide unclassified non-coding RNA is filed under the name Periconia byssoides. RNAcentral describes it as "partial internal transcribed spacer region". The stretch from base 1 to 46 matches the Rfam family "Eukaryotic small subunit ribosomal RNA", at positions 1786 to 1831 of the family's 1831-position model. Lineage: Eukaryota; Fungi; Ascomycota; Dothideomycetes; Pleosporales; Periconiaceae. The record is from RNAcentral.
AAGUCGUAACAAGGUUUCCGUAGGUGAACCUGCGGAAGGAUCAUUACAACAAGGUUCCCUGGCCCUCGAAGCUUCGGCGGAGGGGUGCUACAGCCUGACUUUAUACCCACCCUUUGCCUAUGUGUACCCCUAUUGCUUCCCUCGGCGGGUUCGUCCGCCGACAGGAACCAACUAAACCCUUUGCAUUAUACAUUUAACACUUCCGAUACAAAACUAAAUUAUUACAACUUUUAACAAUGGAUCUCUUGGUUCUG